UUUCAAUGAAGAUAACUUUGUCCAGUUCUGCUACUGAAUGCAAGUGGUGAUAAUAAAGACUCUGAGAAA
This 69-nucleotide small nucleolar RNA is filed under the name Sphaeramia orbicularis (orbiculate cardinalfish). Lineage: Eukaryota; Metazoa; Chordata; Actinopteri; Kurtiformes; Apogonidae. The record is from RNAcentral.